AGUGAACGCUGGCGGUAGGCCUAACACAUGCAAGUCGAACGACAGCACAGUAAGAGCUUGCUCUUACGGGUGGCGAGUGGCGGGUGGGUGAGGAAUACAUCGGAAUCUACUUUUUCUGGGGGGAUAACGGGGGGAAACUGACGAUAAUACCGCAUACGUCCUACGGGUGAAAGCAGUGGAUCUUCGGAGCUUGCCCGACUGAAUGAGCCGAUGUCGGAUUAGCUAGUUGGCGGGGUAAAGGCCCACCAAGGCGACGAUGCGUAGCUGGUCUGAGAGGAUGAUCAGCCACACUGGAACUGAGACACGGUCCAGACUCCUACGGGAGGCAGCAGUGGGGAAUAUUGCACAAUGGGCGAAAGCCUGACGGAGCAACGCCGCGUGAGUGAAGAAGGUCUUCGGAUUGUAAAGCUCUUUUAUUGGGGAAGAAAAACAGUGUGAUAAACUAUCGAUGUCCUGACGGUACCUAAAGAAAAAGCCACGGCUAACUUCGUG
RNAcentral lists this ribosomal RNA (492 nucleotides) under uncultured bacterium. RNAcentral describes it as "partial 16S ribosomal RNA". It matches the Rfam family "Bacterial small subunit ribosomal RNA", at positions 29 to 507 of the family's 1533-position model. The record is from RNAcentral.